GAGCAGGUACGAAAGUAGGUCAUAGUGAUCCGGUGGUUCUGUAUGGAAGGGCCAUCGCUCAACGGAUAAAAGGUACUCCGGGGAUAACAGGCUGAUACCGCCCAAGAGUUCACAUCGACGGCGGUGUUUGGCACCUCGAUGUCGGCUCAUCACAUCCUGGGGCUGAAGUCGGUCCCAAGGGAAUGGCUGUUCGCCCUUUA
This 200-nucleotide ribosomal RNA is filed under the name Alexandrium margalefii. RNAcentral's name for it is "partial Bacterial large subunit ribosomal RNA". It matches the Rfam family "Bacterial large subunit ribosomal RNA", at positions 2391 to 2590 of the family's 2925-position model. The record is from RNAcentral. Lineage: Eukaryota; Dinophyceae; Gonyaulacales; Pyrocystaceae.